GCUCGACUACCUUUUCGCUAAGUCGUCAGGCUCUCUGUGAGCCUCCUUGGCUAUAAUGAGCGUCGUCAGGUCUCCUCUCUUUUGAGUUCUCUUUCUUGAGGCCUCCGAUCUAUAGAGCUCUGCUGGAUAUGAGUUACGGGUUGCAGGCACUCUUUCAGCUCCUCAUCAAAUAUCCUAAAGUGUUGGUCGUUGUCAGUCCUCCUCUCAAUAUGAGAGUCGUUAUGCUGAGGCCUCCGCUCCUAGAGCUCGGCUAGGCGGUAGGAAAUACUGUGCUAGGUAGUUAGGCUCUCUUUGAGCUUCUGUAACCCAGACUAAUUAAGGGUUAAAUAUAUAUAUUAAUAUAAAUGUAUGAGGUUCAGAAAAGUAAAUAAUUGAAGAUUGGCGAUAUUAAUAAAUACUUAAAAUAAAAUAAAUUGUGUGACAAAAAUAAUUUGUAAUAUUUAAACAAGUUAUAGUUUCAUCCAAUCAGAGUUCUUUUGAUAUGGACUGCCCACUUGCUGAUGCGGCAGAUUGCGCAAGACCUAAGAAGGAAGAAGACGGGAAAGAAAUUCGCUAGAUUUAGCUAUCAAGAAAGUAGAAAUAACGGAGUAAAACUUUGAAAAUAGUGUUUAAAACUCAAGUCAGUUGAAAGAGGAGAAUAUUGAGUGGAUUCAGUUGUUAUUUUACUCCUGUGACUAUCGAUGGGUGAAUUACAUCAUUGUAUUACUGGGAAGUGAUUAUCUGGAUGUGGUCAGGUUUUUUUCCUGAGGGGAGAUUGAUUUUCUUUGAUGGCGAGCCAACCUAUUCGGACACUGGAAAAGAAAGAAGAAAAUUCAUCCUAUAGGACCAGGAGAGUAUCGUGAUUUCAUUUUUUUUUUUUCCCCUGCUCAAGGUAAAACUAUUCCUGCAUAGAGACUGUGUUUUCUCCAUACGGGACUGAAACUGUCUGAGAUAACUAGAAGAAGGAACUGAUAUCAGUUAUUGAACAUUUGGAAAUUGAACUGGUCGGCGACGUGUGCGUGAUAUCACAAAAAUGUUGUUGAAUCUGGACAAAUUGUUGUCAUUCUAUUGUUUUCUAUUGUAUUCAUACUAUUCUAGUGUGAAACUGACAGUGAUUUGCUCUUAAGUGACUUGUUCUUUUAUUUCUUUUCAUCGAAUUGACGUAACUCACUUUGAAUUGCUUUUUAUUUAUUUUAUUGUUUACUUUCAAAAAGGGGAAAGGCCGGCAUUUAAGGGAACAUUUAUAAAAAAUCUACGUACUCACCUUAA
Ctenopharyngodon idella (grass carp) is the source of this 1248-nucleotide long non-coding RNA. RefSeq lists it as uncharacterized. The transcript has 2 exons. The record is from RefSeq and is a predicted model, not a curated record. Lineage: Eukaryota; Metazoa; Chordata; Actinopteri; Cypriniformes; Xenocyprididae.